UACGUAGGGGGCAAGCGUUAUCCGGAUUUACUGGGUGUAAAGGGAGCGUAGGUGGCGUGCCAAGUCAGGAGUGAAAACCCAGGGCCCAACCCUGGGACUGCUCUUGAAACUGGCAGGCUUGAGUGCUGGAGAGGUAAGCGGAAUUCCUAGUGUAGCGGUGAAAUGCUUAGAUAUCACGAAGAACUCCGAUUGCGAAGGCAGCUCACUGGACUGCAACUGACACUGAGGCUCGAAAGUGUGGGUAUCAAACAGG
Molecule: ribosomal RNA, 253 nt
Filed under: uncultured Eubacteriales bacterium
Lineage: Bacteria; Bacillati; Bacillota; Clostridia; Eubacteriales
Description: uncultured Clostridiales bacterium partial 16S ribosomal RNA
Rfam family: Bacterial small subunit ribosomal RNA
Source: RNAcentral